This 62-nucleotide transfer RNA is filed under the name Torix tukubana. RNAcentral's name for it is "tRNA-Val". The record is from RNAcentral. Lineage: Eukaryota; Metazoa; Annelida; Clitellata; Rhynchobdellida; Glossiphoniidae.
CAAGCUAUAGCAUAUAUUAAUGCCUCUUAUUUACACUAAGAAGAAAAUAAUAAUUUAACUUG